GUCGCGUUCGGAGAAUGGGUUUUCGGUGUUGAGGCCGUAAACGGAGCUCGAUGAUGCCCAAACAAUGGAUGGCUGAGGAUUGGCUGCUUUGGCUACUUCGAGCAAGUUAACAAAGCCUGCAAUGUUGGAGCUGAUGUACGACUGUGGGUUUUGCAUGGCGUAACGUACGCCGGCCUGAGCCGCUAAGUGAAGGACGUGAGUGAAGGGCACAACGUCGAAUAGCUUGGUCAGCAAUGGCCCGUCGUUCAAGUCACCUUCGACGAUGAAAACUUGGUGCUUACUCAAAAGGUUUUGCCUGGCUCUUUUCAAAGACGGAUCGUAGUAGUUAUUGAAGUUGUCUAAACCAAGAACCCCAUCGCCUCGUUUCUUCAAAGCGAGGGAACAG
This 385-nucleotide long non-coding RNA is filed under the name Gossypium raimondii (Peruvian cotton). Its description in RNAcentral is "long non-coding RNA (GRAI_LNC009182)". Lineage: Eukaryota; Viridiplantae; Streptophyta; Magnoliopsida; Malvales; Malvaceae. The record is from RNAcentral.